UUGGUUAACAAUAUGAGCUUUUGUGUCAUCGGAGAUAUCAUAGGUUUGGUUUUCGAUCUCAGAGGCCCCAUAUUCGGUUAAUGGAUGAACCGGCCUAUCAUUUGGAUAUGCCGAAGAUGGACGCCUUGGCUGAUGCGCUGGAUGAAUUCACUGGAGCUGUACUUGUCUGUCGUGAAUCUAGGUGGAUCUCACGUGUCUGUUAUGAUGAAGAAGAGUGGAAUUUUGGUGGUGGAAGAUGGAACUCUAGCUGCUUUUCCUGUAACAUUUGAGGAGCACAAAGAGGAGCUUCAAAGCGACAUUAAGGCUGAGGUUGUACCUACGAAACUUCUUGUUCUGCCGCUAAACUAUAGUUUCUUGCUGGGUUAUGUACAUCGGAAAGUGAUGUCCGGUUCUAACAUACUAGCAAUAAAAGACCGGCUGCAUGGAAUAUACUAGGAACCUUGGUCUCCAACCUUUCAGCUUGCUAAAGGAAAGAUCAUCCUUGAUGUUGGCUGUGCAGUUCCUACCCAACUGUUCUGCAGAAUAUUGGAAUCUCAGCAUCGCCAGGCAGGGCAGGUGAGUUGAUCAGUUACUAACUGCAGAACAAAGUAGAAUGUAAUUAAAUCAACCUCACCAUCUCUGUUGAUUUUGAUCUACGAUAUUAGGAAUUAGAAAUAAGCCUCAAACUGCAUUUUAUAUAGCACACUACUGCUCAUAAUGGUUGCAUGAUAGCUACCUCCUCCACACUACUCUGAUCAGGAAGCUUGGGCACCAACCAGAUCUUCAAUUCUCUAAACCCUAUGCAACAAGAAGUUUUUGAGACAUUACCAUGUCAAAUAGUCAAGGUACAUUACUACUUGGCUAUGGAGAUGCCAAGCAUUUUUCUGCUGCUGUUUGUUUAUUCUUUUACUUAGUUUCUAUACUGUAUAUCUAUUCAUAUGAGAGAAUUCAAACAAAGCAACAUUCGUAUGACAUUUAUAUAUACCUUAUCCAUUGAAUAGACA
Molecule: RNA transcript, 983 nt
Organism: Populus euphratica (Euphrates poplar)
Lineage: Eukaryota; Viridiplantae; Streptophyta; Magnoliopsida; Malpighiales; Salicaceae
Exons: 2
Source: RefSeq, a predicted model, not a curated record